Long non-coding RNA from Pseudophryne corroboree (corroboree frog), 686 nucleotides. RefSeq lists it as uncharacterized. The transcript has 4 exons. The record is from RefSeq and is a predicted model, not a curated record. NCBI's taxonomy places the organism in Eukaryota, Metazoa, Chordata, Amphibia, Anura, Myobatrachidae.
CCCCCCUCCCUGCCUCCUUACUCACGGCACAGCUGUCCUUGCUGCCGCUUCCGGACCGGCGCCUGUCACACACAGGCAGAGCGGAAGACACAGAGCAGCAGCAGCAGUACAUGGAGGAGGGGGGAGAGCGGAAGACAUGGGGCGCACCAGCAGCGGUAUAGGGCACAUAAAGAUGGGAUCCAGACCCAGCCCACAGUCAAGAGCUUUGCCGGUGGUGAGCGGAAACCACACUAUCAGCUCCGAGUCCUAUCCUGCACAAUCACUGAUAGAGACCCACGUGUGACAGACUACUGCCUCUUCCGGAAGAAGUGAGGAGGCGCUGCACAUAUCUGAUAACUGAGGGGAUCGGGGCUCAUCACUCUGCGAACUCGCCAAUAGUGCCAGUGGUGGCUGGGGUGACACUGCCGAAAGUCGUCGCCUGGGUGGGGAUGAUGGAGCCGCAGAUUCCGAGCCAAGACGCCGUGUCUUACUUGGCCUCCUGGAAUAUGUGACUACACUGAAGUCUUACCUGCAAUCCCAGCCUCAUCCUGACUUGUCUGAGGCCUGUCUGGCCGGCUGGUCUGUGGGACUGUUGAAAAAGUGUACCAAACAUUAUUACCAUGCUUUGUGUAAAAAAAACCCCUGCAAAGCCUUAUUGUACUGUAACCAUCUAUUAGGUAUUGGAUAAACAAAUAAUUUCUGAUUAA